CGAGCGAAGCACUUUUGCAGAUUUCUUCGGAUUGAAGCAAUUGUGACUGAGCGGCGGACGGGUGAGUAACGCGUGGGUAACCUGCCUCAUACAGGGGGAUAACAGUUGGAAACGGCUGCUAAUACCGCAUAAGCGCACAGUACCGCAUGGUACCGUGUGAAAAACUCCGGUGGUAUGAGAUGGACCCGCGUCUGAUUAGCUAGUUGGUGGGGUAACGGCCUACCAAGGCGACGAUCAGUAGCCGACCUGAGAGGGUGACCGGCCACAUUGGGACUGAGACACGGCCCAAACUCCUACGGGAGGCAGCAGUGGGGAAUAUUGCACAAUGGGGGAAACCCUGAUGCAGCGACGCCGCGUGAGCGAUGAAGUAUUUCGGUAUGUAAAGCUCUAUCAGCAGGGAAGAAAAUGACGGUACCUGACUAAGAAGCCCCGGCUAACUACGUGCCAGCAGCCGCGGUAAUACGUAGGGGGCAAGCGUUAUCCGGAUUUACUGGGUGUAAAGGGAGCGUAGACGGCAUGGCAAGCCAGAUGUGAAAGCCCGGGGCUCAACCCCGGGACUGCAUUUGGAACUGUCAGGCUAGAGUGUCGGAGAGGAAAGCGGAAUUCCUAGUGUAGCGGUGAAAUGCGUAGAUAUUAGGAGGAACACCAGUGGCGAAGGCGGCUUUCUGGACGAUGACU
Molecule: ribosomal RNA, 678 nt
Filed under: uncultured Lachnospiraceae bacterium
Lineage: Bacteria; Bacillati; Bacillota; Clostridia; Lachnospirales; Lachnospiraceae
Description: bacterial SSU rRNA
Rfam family: Bacterial small subunit ribosomal RNA
Source: RNAcentral